GGAGAGGUGGCCGAGUGGCUUAAGGCGCACGCUUGGAAAGCGUGUUUAUGAGAAAUUGUAACAGGGGUUCGAAUCCCUUUCUCUCCG
This 87-nucleotide transfer RNA is filed under the name Flavobacteriaceae bacterium. Its description in RNAcentral is "tRNA-Ser". It matches the Rfam family "tRNA". From Rfam's summary of the family: Transfer RNA (tRNA) molecules are approximately 80 nucleotides in length. Their secondary structure includes four short double-helical elements and three loops (D, anti-codon, and T loops). RNAcentral also lists the same sequence under 1 other name. Lineage: Bacteria; Pseudomonadati; Bacteroidota; Flavobacteriia; Flavobacteriales; Flavobacteriaceae. The record is from RNAcentral.